GGGUGAGUAACACGUGGGCAACCUGCCUGUAAGACUGGGAUAACUCCGGGAAACCGGGGCUAAUACCGGAUAAUUCAACGAACCGCAUGGUUCGGUGUUAAAAGAUGGCUUCGGCUAUCACUUACAGAUGGGCCCGCGGCGCAUUAGCUAGUUGGUGAGGUAACGGCUCACCAAGGCAACGAUGCGUAGCCGACCUGAGAGGGUGAUCGGCCACACUGGGACUGAGACACGGCCCAGACUCCUACGGGAGGCAGCAGUAGGGAAUCAUCCGCAAUGGACGAAAGUCUGACGGUGCAACGCCGCGUGAGUGAUGAAGGUUUUCGGAUCGUAAAACUCUGUUGUUAGGGAAGAACACGUACUGUUCGAAUAGGGCAGUGCCUUGACGGUACCUAACCAGAAAGCCACGGCUAACUACGUGCCAGCAGCCGCGGUAAUACGUAGGUGGCAAGCGUUGUCCGGAAUUAUUGGGCGUAAAGCGCGCGCAGGCGGUUUCUUAAGUCUGAUGUGAAAGCCCACAGCUCAACUGUGGAGGGUCAUUGGAAACUGGGGAACUUGAGUACAGAAGAGGAGAGCGGAAUUCCACGUGUAGCGGUGAAAUGCGUAGAUAUGUGGAGGAACACCAGUGGCGAAGGCGGCUCUCUGGUCUGUGACUGACGCUGAGGCGCGAAAGCAUGGGUAGCGAACAGGAUUAGAUACCCUGGUAGUCCAUGCCGUAAACGAUGAGUGCUAGGUGUUAGGGGGUCCAACCCUUAGUGCUGCAGUUAACGCAAUAAGCACUCCGCCUGGGGAGUACGGCCGCAAGGCUGAAACUCAAAGGAAUUGACGGGGGCCCGCACAAGCGGUGGAGCAUGUGGUUUAAUUCGACGCAACGCGAAGAACCUUACCAGGUCUUGACAUCUUCGGACCGCCCUAGAGAUAGGGUCUUCCCUUCGGGGACCGAAUGACAGGUGGUGCAUGGUUGUCGUCAGCUCGUGUCGUGAGAUGUUGGGUUAAGUCCCGCAACGAGCGCAACCCUUAACCUUAGUUGCCAGCAUUCAGUUGGGCACUCUAAGGUGACUGCCGGUGACAAACCGGAGGAAGGUGGGGAUGACGUCAAAUCAUCAUGCCCCUUAUGACCUGGGCUACACACGUGCUACAAUGGAUGGUACAAAGGGAAGCGAAACC
RNAcentral lists this ribosomal RNA (1164 nucleotides) under Alkalibacillus filiformis. RNAcentral's name for it is "bacterial SSU rRNA". It matches the Rfam family "Bacterial small subunit ribosomal RNA", at positions 104 to 1256 of the family's 1533-position model. The record is from RNAcentral. Lineage: Bacteria; Bacillati; Bacillota; Bacilli; Caryophanales; Bacillaceae.